Molecule: long non-coding RNA, 307 nt
Organism: Chroicocephalus ridibundus (black-headed gull)
Lineage: Eukaryota; Metazoa; Chordata; Aves; Charadriiformes; Laridae
Exons: 3
Source: RefSeq, a predicted model, not a curated record
GUGAGGCGGUGCGUCCCUCCGCGCCUCCGUGGCGGUGAGGCGAUUGGUCCCUCCGCGCUGCCGCGGGCCUGGCGCUGACAGGAUUUACUUACCGCAAGGGCCGAAAUCCGUGUGCCCUGGGCCGAGUGUUUUAGCCACGUGUUGCUGAAGGAGAGUGGCACCAAUGGGUUAUCAAUCUGACCCACAGAUGAAAGAGCAAGCAAGCUGACGAAGCCUUUGGUUGGAAAUAAAUGUUGAGUGAGAGCUGGUCCUCAAGAAAUGAGGGGCGAGCUGCAUCGUUCCAACAAGUUCAAGAGAUACUUCGCUG